AACGAACGCUGGCGGCAUGCCUAACACAUGCAAGUCGAACGAGACCUUCGGGUCUAGUGGCGCACGGGUGCGUAACGCGGGGGAACCUGCCCUUAGGUUCGGAAUAACUCGCCGAAAGGGGUGCUAAUACCGGAUAAUGUCUUCGGACCAAAGAUUUAUCGCCUUUGGAUGGGCCCGCGUUGGAUUAGCUAGUUGGUAGGGUAAAAGCCUACCAAGGCGACGAUCCAUAGCUGGUCUGAGAGGAUGAUCAGCCACACUGGGACUGAGACACGGCCCAGACUCCUACGGGAGGCAGCAGUGGGGAAUAUUGGACAAUGGGCGAAAGCCUGAUCCAGCAAUGCCGCGUGAGUGAUGAAGGCCUUAGGGUUGUAAAGCUCUUUUACCCGGGAUGAUAAUGACAGUACCGGGAGAAUAAGCUCCGGCUAACUCCGUG
RNAcentral lists this ribosomal RNA (433 nucleotides) under uncultured bacterium. Its description in RNAcentral is "partial 16S ribosomal RNA". It matches the Rfam family "Bacterial small subunit ribosomal RNA", at positions 29 to 507 of the family's 1533-position model. The record is from RNAcentral.